UAGUCAUGGCUUGAGCUAGUCUUACUGGAACUCGAUCCUCAUGGAUAUUGAAAGUCGGGGUGAGCGCCUCACCCCGACUUUGAGUUGAUUUCCCUGGCCCCCAUACAUGAAUUUAAGUGAAAGUCUAGCUUGAGUUGAGCUUGCUAGCAACUCUUGGAAUAAAAGAGCUGGAUAGAGGAUUAGGUCCCAUAGUAGGUAUGGAAAUGUUAUUCUGAGUACAUGUGUGGCUCCAAAUUAUCUUUUUGUGUGAGAAUUAGGUGAUUUGCUUGAUAGAAGUGCUCGGUGUGCAUUUUCAUGCUUAGGAUUGCA
RNAcentral lists this unclassified non-coding RNA (309 nucleotides) under Hevea brasiliensis (rubber tree). The record is from RNAcentral. Lineage: Eukaryota; Viridiplantae; Streptophyta; Magnoliopsida; Malpighiales; Euphorbiaceae.